RNAcentral lists this ribosomal RNA (638 nucleotides) under bacterium ER-V-3. Its description in RNAcentral is "bacterial SSU rRNA". It matches the Rfam family "Bacterial small subunit ribosomal RNA", at positions 49 to 677 of the family's 1533-position model. The record is from RNAcentral.
CUACACAUGCAGUCGAGCGGUAACAGAGAGUAGCUUGCUACUUUGCUGACGAGAGGCGGACGGGUGAGUAAUGCCUAGGAAUCUGCCUGGGAGAGGGGGAUAACGUUCGGAAACGAACGCUAAUACCGCAUACUUCCUACGGGAGAAAGUGGGGGACCUUCGGGCCUCACGCUAUUAGAUGAGCCUAGGUCGGAUUAGCUAGUUGGUGAGGUAAUGGCUCACCAAGGCUACGAUCCGUAACUGGACUGAGAGGAUGAUCAGUCACACUGGAACUGAGACACGGUCCAGACUCCUACGGGAGGCAGCAGUGGGGAAUAUUGGACAAUGGGCGAAAGCCUGAUCCAGCCAUGCCGCGUGUGUGAAGAAGGUCUUCGGAUUGUAAAGCACUUUAAGUUGGGAGGAAGGGCAGUAAAUUAAUACUUUGCUGUUUUGACGUUACAGACAGAAUAAGCACCGGCUAACUCUGUGCCAGCAGCCGCGGUAAUACAGAGGGUGCAAGCGUUAAUCGGAAUUACUGGGCGUAAAGCGCGCGUAKGGUGAUUGUUAAGUUGGAUGUGAAAGCCCCGGGCUCAACCUGGGAACUGCAUCCAAAACUGGUAAGCUAGAGAACAGGAGAGGGAGGUGGAAUGUCCUGUGUA